Molecule: long non-coding RNA, 305 nt
Organism: Helicoverpa zea (corn earworm)
Lineage: Eukaryota; Metazoa; Arthropoda; Insecta; Lepidoptera; Noctuidae
Exons: 2
Source: RefSeq, a predicted model, not a curated record
CAGCAGCGCGCGCCACCAGCGCCGCAGCCACGCGGCCACGCCGCGCUCCUCCGACUCUGCAACGUGCACGCUGUCUGCAUUACCGCAUCAGGUGUCGCGGCAUGCUAAUGUGGCGAGCGGCGGACAGCGGCGGCUACGUCGCAAGACGUGCUGGUGCUCCGAGAACAUAAUCGUCAGUUAUAAAUAUAGCAGCCACGAUAACACCAAAAGUGACGAUAAGGAAAGGCCAAAGUUCCCGUUACAUCGUAACAGCUUAAAUAUUUCCUACUUAAAAACAUUCAGCCAAUACUUAAGUAUUAUUUCUA